This 331-nucleotide unclassified non-coding RNA is filed under the name soil metagenome. RNAcentral describes it as "partial contains 5.8S ribosomal RNA, internal transcribed spacer 2, and large subunit ribosomal RNA". The stretch from base 1 to 120 matches the Rfam family "5.8S ribosomal RNA", at positions 35 to 154 of the family's 154-position model. The record is from RNAcentral.
GAUGAAGAACGUAGCGAAAUGCGAUAAGUAAUGUGAAUUGCAGAAUUCAGUGAAUCAUCGAAUCUUUGAACGCACAUUGCGCCCCCUGGUAUUCCGGGGGGCAUGCCUGUUCGAGCGUCAUUUCACCACUCAAGCCUCGCUUGGUAUUGGGCAUCGCGGUCCGCCGCGCGCCUCAAAUCGACCGGCUGGGUCUUCUGUCCCCUAAGCGUUGUGGAAACUAUUCGCUAAAGGGUGUUCGGGAGGCUACGCCGUAAAACAACCCCAUUCCUAAGGUUGACCUCGGAUCAGGUAGGGAUACCCGCUGAACUUAAGCAUAUCAAUAAGCGGAGGA